This 67-nucleotide transfer RNA is filed under the name Ethmia eupostica. RNAcentral's name for it is "tRNA-Phe". Lineage: Eukaryota; Metazoa; Arthropoda; Insecta; Lepidoptera; Depressariidae. The record is from RNAcentral. RNAcentral also lists the same sequence under 1 other name.
AUUUAAAUAGCUUAUAGAUUAGAGUAUAAUAUUGAAGAUAUUAGGGAGAUUAAUUAAUCUUUAAAUA